GAAAUUUAACGGAUUUGGCGGCAAGAUAGCCCCUUAGAGGAACCUGCCCUGUAAACGAUGAACCACGAGGGACUCUACUUUCUUUGGUAGUCAGUUUGUAUAUCGCUGUUGUCAGUUAGAUUCUUGAGAAUAUUUUCGUUUAUGAAAAGUUCAUUGACUUCAAGUAAAGGUGCAGCUUAUAAGGAAGAUAGAGGUGGGUUACAUUUAUGAGAAUAAAACGGAAAGGAUGGAUGAAACAAUCCUUGAAGGUGGAUUUAACUGUAAAGCUUAAGUAGGUUUGGUGAGAGCUCUAUCUUGUGUACACACCGCCCGUC
This 314-nucleotide ribosomal RNA is filed under the name Tetraclita serrata. RNAcentral's name for it is "partial 12S ribosomal RNA". It matches the Rfam family "Microsporidia small subunit ribosomal RNA", at positions 773 to 1200 of the family's 1311-position model. The record is from RNAcentral. Lineage: Eukaryota; Metazoa; Arthropoda; Thecostraca; Balanomorpha; Tetraclitidae.